Pteropus vampyrus (large flying fox) is the source of this 119-nucleotide ribosomal RNA. The record is from Ensembl. NCBI's taxonomy places the organism in Eukaryota, Metazoa, Chordata, Mammalia, Chiroptera, Pteropodidae.
ACCUACAGCCACGCCAUCCUGAACACGCCUAAUCCCCUCUGAUCUUGGAAGCUAAGCAGGGUCGGGCCUGGUUAAUACUUGGAUGGGAGACCACCUAGGAAGACCAGGUUCUGUAGGAA